CGGACGGGUGAGUAAUGUAUGGGGACCUGCCUGAUGGCGGGGGAUAACUACUGGAAACGGUAGCUAAUACCGCAUAAUGUCUGCGGACCAAAGCGGGGGACCUCCGGGCCUCGCGCCAUCAGAUGAACCCAUAUGGGAUUAGCUUGUAGGUAAGGUAACGGCUUACCUAGGCGACGAUCCCUAGCUGGUCUGAGAGGAUGAUCAGCCACACUGGGACUGAGACACGGCCCAG
This 232-nucleotide ribosomal RNA is filed under the name uncultured bacterium. RNAcentral's name for it is "partial 16S ribosomal RNA". It matches the Rfam family "Bacterial small subunit ribosomal RNA", at positions 99 to 334 of the family's 1533-position model. The record is from RNAcentral.